Molecule: long non-coding RNA, 468 nt
Organism: Peromyscus eremicus (cactus mouse)
Lineage: Eukaryota; Metazoa; Chordata; Mammalia; Rodentia; Cricetidae
Exons: 3
Source: RefSeq, a predicted model, not a curated record
GGUCUACAUCCGGGACAGUGAGAGGACAGCUUGUUUGAAGGUUACAGGGUUCAGAAAUCAGCUUGUCUUUCUGUCGCAGGUCCAGAUCUCCCGUGUGGAGGAACAGAGUCUGCCCGCGGGCAUGCACAUGCGCGGUGAGCUGGCAACGCGGAGUGGCUGGUGCGAGGAGGCUGUUACUCCAUGCCGCUCCGCAGGAUCUGGUUGGCUGCGAUCAGCAUGACGCUUAUGAUGAAGGCCAUGGCGAAGGCGCAUAUGAGGCUCUUGCGGACGCAGGUUCAAAACCUCUGCAUACAUUCCCCCCGACCUUCUGCUUGCUGACUGGGAAGAGGUGUCAAACACUUGGUGUGGCUGGCAGGAACCUGAGUCGGGACUUGAUUCAUUUUCUUGAGACUCUCCUAAGGUCAUUGGCAAUUUUAUAUUUGCAUUGCAUUAUAUUGCAUCAAAUAAAUACGAUUUAUUCUUAGUGUA